Molecule: unclassified non-coding RNA, 363 nt
Filed under: uncultured bacterium
Lineage: Bacteria
Description: contains 16S-23S intergenic spacer region
Source: RNAcentral
UCCCCGUUACCGGGGCAGUCUGAUUAGAAAAAUACAACUAAUCACAAGGGUUGCGCUCGUUGAUGGACUUAACCAAACAUCUCACGACACGAGCUGACGACGGCCAUGCAUCAUCUGUCACUUGGUUCAAUAAAGCACUCUUGCCUUUCGGCAAAAUUCCAAGGAUGUCAAACCCUGGUAAGGUUCUUCGUUUAGCAUCGAAUUAAAGAACAUGAUCCACCGCUUGUGCGGGUCCCCGUCAAUUCCUUUAUGUUUUAGUCUUGCGACCGUACUCCACAGGCGGGAUACUUAACGCGUUAGCUUCGCUACAGAGGGGGUCGAUACCCCCUACAGCUAGUAUCCAUCGUUUACGGCGUGGACUAC